ACUCAGGUUCACCACCCUCGGCCCAGUGGGGCAACUGCCAAUGGGCACCAGGGAGGCCUAGUGCUGCCAACCUCCUCUCCACUGAUUCCUGCUGUGCUCUCUGAGGUCCUAAGGCUUAUUAUGCUGGAUGCCCCGGCGUAGUCAACUGGCCAGAGGCAUAGGCAGGGGACGGGUCGACCUCUCAACCCAGGAAAGUUCGGGAAGAACCAGGUGCGCAAAGCACCUGGUGACAGCCAGCAGUCGUGGGAUCCUCUCCCUCCCCACCCACCACGAGGCCAGGAGCUUCUUGCAUUCACCCUACAAGUUACCGGGCUUACCAAGAUUAAGAAGGACUAUGCCGUGUGGGCGCUGAAACCAGAAAUUCCUCUCAUUAAAUGCCUGAGUGUUCACACCAUCCAGCACAUAUCUUCUACUACUAAGUCCAAAUAGAUGGUGUUGGGAUCCUUACCGAGCAAAAGGCAACCAAGUGAGAAAAUGGACUUCUACUGUUCAGAGGAAAGAAGAAUGCCACUCCUUUCCUUGGACAAGAGGGGGACUGAUAGUCUCCUCUCCCUGACUAAACUUGAAUCAGGUUCCUCUUUCCAAUGAGACCUUGACUUUUGGACUUCUGUGUUCAUCUUUGCAUUGUCCAACUUCAUAAGCACCCUGCUAAGUCAGUUUAGCCAGAAUCCUCCAGCUUCCGUGCCUGAUCAAGUUUCUCAGCCUCCACCCCGCGCCCCCCCAGAUGAUGUCUGAUUACCCUGGCCUGCUGCCUUCAGCAAGAAUCCUGUUGGGUUAGUUAGCCAGAUCCCCUUGACCCCUGUUGUUUCCUCUUAGUCAUUUUCCAUCCCCUGACCCCUACCCUGCUCCUUGGCUACAAAUUCCCACUUGCCCAUGCUGCAUUCAGAGUUGAAUCCAUUCUCUCCCAGUGCAAGUCCCCAUUACAGGGGUGCUGACACCCAUUGCCCUCCCCCUCUUGAAUAAAGUCGAGCUUACUGUUCUUUAA
Molecule: long non-coding RNA, 985 nt
Organism: Suricata suricatta (meerkat)
Lineage: Eukaryota; Metazoa; Chordata; Mammalia; Carnivora; Herpestidae
Exons: 2
Source: RefSeq, a predicted model, not a curated record